Molecule: ribosomal RNA, 503 nt
Filed under: uncultured Glomus
Lineage: Eukaryota; Fungi; Glomeromycota; Glomeromycetes; Glomerales; Glomeraceae
Description: SSU rRNA
Rfam family: Eukaryotic small subunit ribosomal RNA
Source: RNAcentral
AGCAGCCGCGGUAAUUCCAGCUCCAAUAGCGUAUAUUAAAGUUGUUGCAGUUAAAAAGCUCGUAGUUGAAUUUCGGGAUCAAUAUAUCGGUCAUGCUUAGGUAUGUACUGGUAUUAUUGAUUUCUCCCUUCUGAAGAACCAUGAUGUCAUUAAUUUGGUGUCGUGGGGAAUCAGGACUGUUACUUUGAAAAAUUAGAGUGUUUAAAGCAGGCAUACGCUUGAAUACAUUAGCAUGGAAUAAUGAAAUAGGACGUUUGAUUCUAUUUUGUUGGUUUCUAGGAUCGACGUAAUGAUUAAUAGGGAUAGUUGGGGGCAUUAGUAUUCAAUUGUCAGAGGUGAAAUUCUUGGAUUUAUUGAAGACUAACUACUGCGAAAGCAUUUGCCAAGGAUGUUUUCAUUAAUCAAGAACGAAAGUUAGGGGAUCGAAGACGAUCAGAUACCGUCGUAGUCUUAACCAUAAACUAUGCCGACUAGGGAUCGGAUGAUGUUAAUUUUUUAAUGUA